GACGAACGCUGGCGGCGUGCUUAACACAUGCAAGUCGAACGGAAAGGCCCUGCUUUUGUGGGGUGCUCGAGUGGCGAACGGGUGAGUAACACGUGAGUAACCUGCCCUUGACUUUGGGAUAACUUCAGGAAACUGGGGCUAAUACCGGAUAGGAGCUCCUGCUGCAUGGUGGGGGUUGGAAAGUUUCGGCGGUUGGGGAUGGACUCGCGGCUUAUCAGCUUGUUGGUGGGGUAGUGGCUUACCAAGGCUUUGACGGGUAGCCGGCCUGAGAGGGUGACCGGCCACAUUGGGACUGAGAUACGGCCCAGACUCCUACGGGAGGCAGCAGUGGGGAAUAUUGCACAAUGGGCGGAAGCCUGAUGCAGCAAAGCCGCGUGCGGGAUGACGGCCUUCGGGUUGUAAACCGAUUUCGCCUGUGACGAAGCGUGAGUGACGGUAAUGGGUAAAGAAGCACCGGCUAACUACGUG
RNAcentral lists this ribosomal RNA (468 nucleotides) under uncultured bacterium. RNAcentral's name for it is "partial 16S ribosomal RNA". It matches the Rfam family "Bacterial small subunit ribosomal RNA", at positions 28 to 507 of the family's 1533-position model. The record is from RNAcentral.